GAUGAACGCUGGCGGCGUGCCUAAUACAUGCAAGUCGAGCGAACAGAUGAGGCGCUUGCUCCUCUGACGUUAGCGGCGGACGGGUGAGUAACACGUGGAUAACCUACCUAUAAGACUGGGAUAACUUCGGGAAACCGGAGCUAAUACCGGAUAAUAUAUUGAACCGCAUGGUUCAAUAGUGAAAGACGGUUUUGCUGUCACUUAUAGAUGGAUCCUCGCCGCAUUAGCUAGUUGGUAAGGUAACGGCUUACCAAGGCAACGAUGCGUAGCCGACCUGAGAGGGUGAUCGGCCACACUGGAACUGAGACACGGUCCAGACUCCUACGGGAGGCAGCAGUAGGGAAUCUUCCGCAAUGGGCGAAAGCCUGACGGAGCAACGCCGCGUGAGUGAUGAAGGUCUUCGGAUCGUAAAACUCUGUUAUUAGGGAAGAACAAAUGUGUAAGUAACUAUGCACGUCUUGACGGUACCUAAUCAGAAAGCCACGGCUAACUACGUG
This 497-nucleotide ribosomal RNA is filed under the name uncultured bacterium. Its description in RNAcentral is "partial 16S ribosomal RNA". It matches the Rfam family "Bacterial small subunit ribosomal RNA", at positions 28 to 507 of the family's 1533-position model. The record is from RNAcentral.